UGGGCCCCGUGUGUGUGUGUGUGCCCCAUAGAUCUGUGGGGCUGGGCCCCGUGUGUGUGUGUGCCCCAUACAUCUGUGGGGCUGGGCCCCGUGUGUGUGUGUGUGCCCCAUAGAUCUGUGGGGCUGGGCCCCAUGUGUGUGUGUGUGCGCCCCAUAGAUCUGUGGGGCUGGGCCCCAUGUGUGUGUGUGUGCCCCAUAGAUCUGUGGGGCUGGGCCCCGUGUGUGUGUGUGUGCCCCAUAGCAGUGCGUGCCCCAUAGCUGUGUGUGUGCCCCAUAGCUGUGUGUGCGUGUCCCAUAGCAGUGUGUGUGUGCCCCAUAGCUGUGCACGCCCCAUAGCAGUGUGCGUGCCCCAUAGCUGUGUGUGUGUGCCCCGUAGCAGUGCAUGCCCCAUAACUGUGUGCGCGCCCCAUAGCUGUGUGUGCCCCAUAACUGUGUGCGCGCCCCAUAGCUGUGUGUGCCCCAUAGCUGUGUGUGCCCCAUAGCUGUGUGUGCCCCAUAGCUGUGUGUGUGUGCCCCAUAGCUGUGCGUGCCCCAUAGCUGUGCGUGCCCCAUAGCUGUGUGUGCCCCAUAGCUGUGCGUGCCCCAUAGCUGUUUGUGCCCCAUAGCUGUGUGUGCGUGCCCCAUAGCAGUGUGUGCGCCCCAUAGCAGUGCGUGCCCCAUAGCUGUGUGUGCCCCAUAGCUGUGUGUGCCCCAUAGCUGUGUGUGCGUGCCCCAUAGCUGUGUGUGCCCCAUAGCUGUGUGUGCGUGCCCCAUAGCAGUGCGUGCCCCAUAGCUGUGUAUGUGCCCCAUAGCUGUGUGUGCGUGCCCCAUAGCUGUGUGCGCCCCAUAGCUGUGUGUGCGUGCCCCAUAGCUGUGUGUGUGUGCCCCAUAGCUGUGUGUGCCCCAUCGCUGUGUGCGCGCCCCCCGUGUCUGCCCGCCCCACACGUUGUGUUUGUGGCGCCCCCUGUCGGUGCGUGCAGGCGGUGCGGGCGCUGCUGGCGGUGUUCGUGGAGCAGCCGACCCCGUUCCUGGAGCUGUUCCUGCAGCGGCUGCUGCGCCUGGAGCUGCCCGGGGACAAAGUGCGGCUCUUCAUCCACAACCGCGUCAGUGCCUGCCCCACGGCUGCCCCAUA
RNAcentral lists this long non-coding RNA (1111 nucleotides) under Numida meleagris (helmeted guineafowl). RNAcentral describes it as "lncRNA (ENSNMEG00000000925.1)". The record is from RNAcentral. Lineage: Eukaryota; Metazoa; Chordata; Aves; Galliformes; Numididae.